CAUGCAAGUUAGAGACCAGCACAAAACUGGACCAAAUAUAGAGCCAUUAUUAGAUCAGAUAGCUCUGCUAUCUCAAAGACAGGGAACAAAAUAAAACUAAAAAAUAAAACUUGGAGGACAAAUAACAUAUAGAGAGGAAAAACUCUCAAAGCUAAUUAAUAUCCUCAGAAAGGUAAGACUAUAUCCUUAAAAUAAAAACAGAAUACCAUGGGGAAAAGGCACUUUGAACAAUAGAAUAGCUGAAAUGAAACACACAAGGAUUGGAAAAUGAAGCUGAGGAAAUACCCCCAGAAAGUAGAACAAAAUUACAAAAGUGAAAAGUGGAAGAAAAAUAAGUAAAGGGUCACUAGAUGUCUAACAUCUGAAAAACAGGGGUUACAGAAAUAAAACUGAAAAUGGAGCGAGUUAAUCAAAGACAUGAUUCAAGAAAAGUUCCCAGACCUGAAGGAUGUUUCUAGAGUGAAUGGAGCCCACCCAGGGUGUAGUAGAUAUAUGAAAAUAGACCCACAUAAUGAAUACUAUUGUGAAAUAUGAGAAUAGUAGGUACAAAGAAAAUCUUACAUUCCUCAAAUAAAACAAAUCAAAGGUAUCAGAAUUGGAAUGAUUUUGAACUUCGACAUCUGUCCUAGAAGCUGAAAGAAAAUGGAAUAGUGCCUUCAAAAUUCUAAAGGAAAGUUAUUUUCCAACUUAGAAUUCUGAACCCAGGAAAAUUAUAAAUUAAGGGUGAGGCUAGAAUCAAUAUAUUUUAAAAUAGGCAGGAUCACAAGUUUAUCUCUUAUGUACCCUUCCUUUCUGGGAAAACUACUAUAGGAUAUACAGCAUCAAAAUGAGGGGGUAAACCCAGAAAAAGGAAGACAAGGGACUCAAUGCAGGAGGGAGGUAAGGGGUCCCGGUGACAGCUGUGAGCCAGGCUGGUCUGGGAUGGAGCAGGUCAGAAGGUUCCUAGUGAGAGUGCUUCAGGAGGAUGGAAUUGGUGGAAUCCCUGGUGUGUCCAAGCAUAUUGAGGUGGUGUAAAGGAGCUAAACUCUAAAAUGAGCUAAAUUCUAUAAUGCCUAGGACUAAAAGCUGUGUGCUAGCAUGUUAUCUGCAGAUAUGGAAGUAGAUACCCAAAUAAUUAGCUGAAAAGAGUUGGGAGGGUGGUGGGAGGCAGCUCCUUUUCAUAUCAGUUCUGUGAUACUACUUGAUUCUACAUUGCAUGUAUGAAAUUGACACCAAUGAGAACCAAACAAAAAGAAAGGACUCUCAGUUUUCACUAAGGUUGGCCAAGAUGGAAAAGGUUGAUAGUACUGAAUGGGAAAACUGGCUGAACUCUUCCUGGUGGGAGCAAAAAUUCACGUGAUCUCUUCAGAGGUCAAUUUGGCAGUAAAUGAUGAAAACUUAAAAAGGGCAACUCACCCUCAACCCUGCAAGUUGUUUCUCUCCCUCAGUUGUGUAUGGUGGAUCUGGAACAGGAAGCUGUGGGUGGAAGGGAACCCCCGGAAGGCACUCCUAGGUGAAGGAGGGGCAAAUACUUGGGAGCUGGUGUCAGCAGGCAGGAUCGGGAUGGGUGGAGGACCAGACUGCAAACCAGCUGACCCUUGUCUUCCAGUCUCCUUCCCUGGUAGGGGAGUCUCACUGUGGAAGCCUGAAUUAUGCUCUCCUGAAACAUUGCUCUGGGGGAGACAAGGGGCCCUCUAGUGCUGAAGUGCUCCUGAGGGCAGCCUGCAGUCUUCAGUGUCCCGGCAGCGCCGCGGUCCAAGGUCAGCCAGGCGCUGUG
RNAcentral lists this long non-coding RNA (1756 nucleotides) under Homo sapiens (human). RNAcentral's name for it is "HSALNT0060102". The record is from RNAcentral. Lineage: Eukaryota; Metazoa; Chordata; Mammalia; Primates; Hominidae.